UUUAUUAUUCAUAGUGAUCCCGGAUAUAUUUCACUACAGAUACAAGCUUUAAACCUCGUUUUUAUAACAUCACUGUACAACCUGCAUCACCUCACUCCGCAGGUCAUGGGACUGAUAGUUCACAUCUUUGCUGCAAUAUUCGCUUUGAACUUCCUGGGACGACCCUCCUUGCAGCUAGAGCAAUCAGUUCUGGAUCUAUUUCCAGAGUUUACUAGGUUGAAACAGGAUAUCAAGUCUGAACUAGCAUCUAUAAAGUCGAAGCUUCAGAGUGGACAAGAUAAGAGAGUUGCAUUUCAUGCAAAACUACAACCAAGGAUUGAAGUUAUGGAGCCUUCAAAGACAGUGGUAUUUGAUUACGUUAUCACAAACAUUGGAAGUGCUUAUAACAAUCGAAAUGGGCAUUUUACUGCUCCUUAUGAUGGAGUGUAUUUCUUUAUUUCUACAUUUCAUUCAUUGAUGAUAUA
Mytilus californianus (California mussel) is the source of this 464-nucleotide long non-coding RNA. RefSeq lists it as uncharacterized. The transcript has 3 exons. NCBI's taxonomy places the organism in Eukaryota, Metazoa, Mollusca, Bivalvia, Mytilida, Mytilidae. The record is from RefSeq and is a predicted model, not a curated record.